RNAcentral lists this ribosomal RNA (1023 nucleotides) under Triticum aestivum (bread wheat). Its description in RNAcentral is "partial small subunit ribosomal RNA". The record is from RNAcentral. Lineage: Eukaryota; Viridiplantae; Streptophyta; Magnoliopsida; Poales; Poaceae.
AUGCUCAGUAUGAUGAAGCCACUGCCCUCGGAUGCUGAGUAUCCCAAGGAAUUCCUUGUUGAAGACCUUGAGUAUCUGCCACGCACAAUCUAUCAUAUCAUUCGGCGAACUCUAUGGCCGAUGAAGGGGCAUUCCUCCUCAGCAAAUCUUGAAGGAGCAAUGAAGACAUUGGUCUUCUACAUACUCAAUGGCAAAAGCUUCAAUGCUCAAGAUUUCUUCAUACGCCAGUUUGCUGCAUCUGGGUCUGACAUUUCCGGUCUCAAAUUUUAUGCUCCUUGGGUUAUGCGUCUGAUUAAGCUGCACUCUGCUGUUGACUAUCAGCCCUCUGCACGCAACCAUAUUAUCUUCCUGCCAGAGGUUGAUAUGUCAGUCGAAGCCAUUUACCCAGAGCCUGCCAAGGAAGCGCUAUAUCUUCACAAUGCAGAUUGUCAGAGUUUCACUCAGGAUGUUGAAGGUGUUCAAGCUGUUUCGCGUGUCUAUCCAUUGGCCAGCAACACUCGUCGUGCACGUACUGAAGCCAUUGAAAGCACCAUUGCGCCAAGGUCUCGCAAGCGCUCCCGUGUACUCUAUGACCAUGAGCUUCUUGUGGCCCUGCAUCGGAAACAAGACAAGCAUCACUUUUGGCUGAAACGGCAGAUGCAAAGCCUCUUGAUGGAUGUUAAUCACAUUCGCAAUCUUGCUACCAAGAAUGCUUUUGUCACUCAUGAAACCUGUCGGAGGUCCUGGAAGAGUCUAACAUUACUAAGUGUUGAAGCUGAUCUUCAAGACGAUGGCUUCACUGAGAGAUUCAAGUUCGACUCCACUCCUCCACGGAAUGAUGUGCUACGUCAAACCCCAUCUCUUGAAGACUCAGAAUACUCUUCCUCUGCAGCCACUGUUCACGCUAGAGUUAUUGAUGAAGCUGAUGAUGCUACCUCACCACCUCCAACCUCAGCGCAUGUCAACACUGCACCAAGUUCUUCUGCACCACCUAACCUCAACGACGACCCUACUGCUUCACCUACUCCUCAUGGGAACGAGUAG